RNAcentral lists this transfer RNA (72 nucleotides) under Bacillus sp. V-88. RNAcentral describes it as "tRNA-Arg". It matches the Rfam family "tRNA". From Rfam's summary of the family: Transfer RNA (tRNA) molecules are approximately 80 nucleotides in length. Their secondary structure includes four short double-helical elements and three loops (D, anti-codon, and T loops). Further hydrogen bonds mediate the characteristic L-shaped molecular structure. tRNAs have two regions of fundamental functional importance: the anti-codon, which is responsible for specific mRNA codon recognition, and the 3' end, to which the tRNAs corresponding amino acid is attached (by aminoacyl-tRNA synthetases). tRNAs cope with the degeneracy of the genetic code in two manners: having more than one tRNA (with a specific anti-codon) for a particular amino acid; and 'wobble' base-pairing, i.e. permitting non-standard base-pairing at the 3rd anti-codon position. RNAcentral also lists the same sequence under 1 other name. Lineage: Bacteria; Bacillati; Bacillota; Bacilli; Caryophanales; Bacillaceae. The record is from RNAcentral.
CUCAAUGUGGUGCAACGGAUAGCACGUAAGAUUCCGGUUCUUAAGAUGGGGGUUCGAUUCCCUCCGAUGGCG